This 496-nucleotide ribosomal RNA is filed under the name uncultured bacterium. RNAcentral's name for it is "partial 16S ribosomal RNA". It matches the Rfam family "Bacterial small subunit ribosomal RNA", at positions 29 to 523 of the family's 1533-position model. The record is from RNAcentral.
AUUGAACGCUGGCGGCAUGCUUUACACAUGCAAGUCGAACGGUAGAGGGGGCAACCCCUUGAGAGUGGCGAACGGGUGAGUAAUGCAUCGGAACGUGCCCAGUCGUGGGGGAUAACGCAGCGAAAGCUGUGCUAAUACCGCAUACGAUCUCUGGAUGAAAGCGGGGGACCGAAAGGCCUCGCGCGAUUGGAGCGGCCGAUGUCAGAUUAGGUAGUUGGUGGGGUAAAGGCUCACCAAGCCAACGAUCUGUGGCUGGUCUGAGAGGACGACCAGCCACACUGGGACUGAGACACGGCCCAGACUCCUACGGGAGGCAGCAGUGGGGAAUUUUGGACAAUGGGCGCAAGCCUGAUCCAGCAAUGCCGCGUGCAGGAAGAAGGCCUUCGGGUUGUAAACUGCUUUUGUACGGAACGAAAAGAUCUGGGUUAAUACCCUGGGCACACGACGGUACCGUAAGAAUAAGCACCGGCUAACUACGUGCCAGCCGCCGCAGUAA